CUCAAGGUAAGAGUCUUGGAGGUAGAGCACUGAUUGGACUAGGGGCCCCUACCGGGUUACCGAAUUCAGUCAAACUCCCAAUGCCAAAGACUUAUCCUUGGGAGUCAGACUGCGAGUGAUAAGAUCCGUAGUCGAAAGGGAAACAGCCCAGACCGCCAGCUAAGGUGCCAAAGUAUACGUUAAGUGGAAAAGGAUGUGGAGUUGCACAGACAACCAGGAUGUUGGCUUAGAAGCAGCCACCAUUGAAAGAGUGCGUAAUAGCUCACUGGUCGAGUGACUCUGCGCCGAAAAUGUAACGGGGCUAAACACACCACCGAAGCUAUGGCUAGAUACUAUGUAUCUGGGGUAGGGGAGCGUUGUAUGUGGGUUGAAGGUGUACCGUAAGGAGCGCUGGACAGCAUACAAGUGAGAAUGCCGGUAUGAGUAACGAAAAGAUCAGUGAGAAUCUGAUCCGCCGAAAGCCCAAGGUUUCCUGAGGAAGGCUCGUCCGCUCAGGGUAAGUCGGGACCUAAGG
This 514-nucleotide ribosomal RNA is filed under the name Salmonella enterica subsp. enterica serovar Agona. RNAcentral describes it as "partial 23S ribosomal RNA". It matches the Rfam family "Bacterial large subunit ribosomal RNA", at positions 881 to 1396 of the family's 2925-position model. The record is from RNAcentral. Lineage: Bacteria; Pseudomonadati; Pseudomonadota; Gammaproteobacteria; Enterobacterales; Enterobacteriaceae.